AGCGUACACGGUGGAUGCCCUGGCAGUCAGAGGCGAUGAAGGGCGUGCUAAUCUGCGAUAAGCGCCGGUAAGGUGAUAUGAACCGUUAUAACCGGCGAUACCCGAAUGGGGAAACCCAGUGUGAUUCGUCACACUAUCAUUAACUGAAUCCAUAGGUUAAUGAGGCGAACCGGGGGAACUGAAACAUCUAAGUACCCCGAGGAAAAGAAAUCAACCGAGAUUCCCCCAGUAGCGGCGAGCGAACGGGGAGGAGCCCAGAGCCUGAAUCAGCAUGUGUGUUAGUGGAAGCGUCUGGAAAGGUGCGCGAUACAGGGUGACAGCCCCGUACACAAAAGCGCAUGUGCUGUGAGCUCGAUGAGUAGGGCGGGACACGUGGUAUCCUGUCUGAAUAUGGGGGGACCAUCCUCCAAGGCUAAAUACUCCUGACUGACCGAUAGUGAACCAGUACCGUGAGGGAAAGGCGAAAAGAACCCCGGCGAGGGGAGUGAAAAAGAACCUGAAACCGUGUACGUACAAGCAGUGGGAGCACAGGUUUACCUGUGUGACUGCGUACCUUUUGUAUAAUGGGUCAGCGACUUAUAUUCUGUAGCAAGGUUAACCGUAUAGGGGAGCCGUAGGGAAACCGAGUCUUAAUUGGGCGUUAAGUUGCAGGGUAUAGACCCGAAACCCGGUGAUCUAGCCAUGGGCAGGUUGAAGGUUGGGUAACACUAACUGGAGGACCGAACCGACUAAUGUUGAAAAAUUAGCGGAUGACCUGUGGCUGGGGGUGAAAGGCCAAUCAAACCGGGAGAUAGCUGGUUCUCCCCGAAAGCUAUUUAGGUAGCGCCUCGUGAAUUCAUCUCCGGGGGUAGAGCACUGUUUCGGCUAGGGGGCCAUCCCGGCUUACCAACCCGAUGCAAACUGCGAAUACCGGAGAAUGUUAUCACGGGAGACACACGGCGGGUGCUAACGUCCGUCGUGAAGAGGGAAACAACCCAGACCGCCAGCUAAGGUCCCAAAGUCAUGGUUAAGUGGGAAACGAUGUGGGAAGGCCCAGACAGCCAGGAUGUUGGCUUAGAAGCAGCCAUCAUUUAAAGAAAGCGUAAUAGCUCACUGGUCGAGUCGGCCUGCGCGGAAGAUGUAACGGGGCUAAACCAUGCACCGAAGCUGCGGCAGCGAACGUAUCACCCAAGACAACUUUACGGAGUUGACGAUUGACGGAGCGAAGCGACGUCAAAGCGUUCAUUAAAGUCGAGUUGGCUUAGGGAUACGUUCGUUGGGUAGGGGAGCGUUCUGUAAGCCUGUGAAGGUGUGUCGUGAGGCAUGCUGGAGGUAUCAGAAGUGCGAAUGCUGACAUAAGUAACGAUAAAGCGGGUGAAAAGCCCGCUCGCCGGAAGACCAAGGGUUCCUGUCCAACGUUAAUCGGGGCAGGGUGAGUCGACCCCUAAGGCGAGGCCGAAAGGCGUAGUCGAUGGGAAACGGGUUAAUAUUCCCGUACUUGGUGUUACUGCGAAGGGGGGACGGAGAAGGCUAUGUUGGCCGGGCGACGGUUGUCCCGGUUUAAGCGUGUAGGUGUGUGUUCCAGGUAAAUCCGGUUCACUUUAACACUGAGGCGUGACGACGAGGCACUACGGUGCUGAAGCAACAAAUGCCCUGCUUCCAGGAAAAGCCUCUAAGCAUCAGGUAACACGAAAUCGUACCCCAAACCGACACAGGUGGUCAGGUAGAGAAUACCAAGGCGCUUGAGAGAACUCGGGUGAAGGAACUAGGCAAAAUGGUGCCGUAACUUCGGGAGAAGGCACGCUGACACGUAGGUGAAGUGAUUUACUCAUGGAGCUGAAGUCAGUCGAAGAUACCAGCUGGCUGCAACUGUUUAUUAAAAACACAGCACUGUGCAAACACGAAAGUGGACGUAUACGGUGUGACGCCUGCCCGGUGCCGGAAGGUUAAUUGAUGGGGUCAGCGCAAGCGAAGCUCCUGAUCGAAGCCCCGGUAAACGGCGGCCGUAACUAUAACGGUCCUAAGGUAGCGAAAUUCCUUGUCGGGUAAGUUCCGACCUGCACGAAUGGCGUAAUGAUGGCCAGGCUGUCUCCACCCGAGACUCAGUGAAAUUGAACUCGCUGUGAAGAUGCAGUGUACCCGCGGCAAGACGGAAAGACCCCGUGAACCUUUACUAUAGCUUGACACUGAACAUUGAGCCUUGAUGUGUAGGAUAGGUGGGAGGCUUUGAAGUGUGGACGCCAGUCUGCAUGGAGCCGACCUUGAAAUACCACCCUUUAAUGUUUGAUGUUCUAACGUGGACCCGUAAUCCGGGUUGCGGACAGUGUCUGGUGGGUAGUUUGACUGGGGCGGUCUCCUCCUAAAGAGUAACGGAGGAGCACGAAGGUUGGCUAAUCCUGGUCGGACAUCAGGAGGUUAGUGCAAUGGCAUAAGCCAGCUUGACUGCGAGCGUGACGGCGCGAGCAGGUGCGAAAGCAGGUCAUAGUGAUCCGGUGGUUCUGAAUGGAAGGGCCAUCGCUCAACGGAUAAAAGGUACUCCGGGGAUAACAGGCUGAUACCGCCCAAGAGUUCAUAUCGACGGCGGUGUUUGGCACCUCGAUGUCGGCUCAUCACAUCCUGGGGCUGAAGUAGGUCCCAAGGGUAUGGCUGUUCGCCAUUUAAAGUGGUACGCGAGCUGGGUUUAGAACGUCGUGAGACAGUUCGGUCCCUAUCUGCCGUGGGCGCUGGAGAACUGAGGGGGGCUGCUCCUAGUACGAGAGGACCGGAGUGGACGCAUCACUGGUGUUCGGGUUGUCAUGCCAAUGGCACUGCCCGGUAGCUAAAUGCGGAAGAGAUAAGUGCUGAAAGCAUCUAAGCACGAAACUUGCCCCGAGAUGAGUUCU
RNAcentral lists this ribosomal RNA (2861 nucleotides) under Salmonella enterica subsp. enterica serovar Typhimurium var. 5-. RNAcentral's name for it is "bacterial LSU rRNA". It matches the Rfam family "Bacterial large subunit ribosomal RNA". The record is from RNAcentral. Lineage: Bacteria; Pseudomonadati; Pseudomonadota; Gammaproteobacteria; Enterobacterales; Enterobacteriaceae.